CAGUAACCCCCUCCCCAACUCUUGCGUUACCAACCCUAACCCACUCCAAAUCUCCAACGGCGCAGCACACGCUCCCUCGUCCCUCCCAUCACCGUAGAGCUAGCCGUUCCUCUCAACGCCGGCGAGCUCAGUCCCUCCCUUUCGCGCUGCCACGGUCCCGCCGGCGCUAGCUCUAUUUCACCGCAGCCACUGUCCCGUUCGAAGGUGCUCCUUCUCUCGGUGUCUCCUUCUUUCGUGUUCUGUUCAAGGCUUCUAGCUUCGAAGGUGCUCUCUUUCGCCGCCGUCGCGCUCACAUAGAGGAAGAAUCAUCGCAAGUGCCGCCGUUUCCUCCUCCUCUCGGUCAAGCCGUCAUCCACUUCUCUGCUGCGCCGCUGUCUACUUCUCAAUCCUCCUCCUUCCCCUGUCCCAAAUCCAUGCGGCCAGACCUUCUCUUCUAGGCUUUCUAGCUCGGCACGUCGUCCUGUCUUCGUCGGUGACUUCGGUGUUCAAGGCUUCCAGCUGCUGCGCCGUCGAGUUGCCGUCGUCGUCCUGCUGUCGGUGGAAGGUUUAGUGUGAUUAUUGGUUAAUGUUUUGUAAUGUUUGGUGCUGAAGGCUGAUUGUUGAGUUCAGAUAUAGUUGUUUAUUUUGACUUGGGUAAAGAGAUUUAUGGUCAUUUUUUCCUGCCUUGUACCAAUUCAGAUGAUUAUUUUCAGAGGAUGAGCACUUAUUUAUGUAUCUUGAGAAACUGUUUCUGUUUGUUAUGAGCACUUAGUUUCACCAAGAAAUCUUAGUUUGUUAUGAGCACUUAGUUUCACCAAGAAAGCUUAGUUUCGCCAAAUGGUCCUCAAAGCAACUCAUCCAAAAUGCUGCUGCACAAAUCCAAGUCUAUUGUCUCUCAAAGCCUGCAUGCUCUUUCAUUUGGUGAAGUCUUUCUAGCAGUAGUCCACUGCCAACUUUGUUAUUAAUAAUGUUAUCAAAUUUGUUUAUCCAAGUACUAUGUUUAUUUUUU
This is a long non-coding RNA of Arachis ipaensis, 988 nucleotides long. RefSeq lists it as uncharacterized. Lineage: Eukaryota; Viridiplantae; Streptophyta; Magnoliopsida; Fabales; Fabaceae. The record is from RefSeq and is a predicted model, not a curated record.